UAAGGAAUAUUGGUCAAUGGAGGGAACUCUGAACCAGCCAUGCCGCGUGAAGGAUGACGGCCCUCUGGGUUGUAAACUUCUUUUGGAUGGGGCGAAAAAACGGGAUUUAUCCUGGACUGACGGUACCAUCAGAAUAAGCACCGGCUAACUCCGUGCCAGCAGCCGCGGUAAUACGGAGGGUGCAAGCGUUAUCCGGAAUCACUGGGUUUAAAGGGUGCGUAGGCGGUUGUAUAAGUCAGGGGUGAAAGCACGCAGCUUAACUGUGUAAUUGCCUUUGAUACUGUACGGCUUGAAUAGGGUUGAGGUUGGCGGAAUGUGACAUGUAGCGGUGAAAUGCAUAGAUAUGUCAUAGAACACCGAUUGCGAAGGCAGCUGACUGGGCCUAUAUUGACGCGUACGGAA
This 402-nucleotide ribosomal RNA is filed under the name uncultured bacterium. RNAcentral describes it as "bacterial SSU rRNA". It matches the Rfam family "Bacterial small subunit ribosomal RNA", at positions 355 to 753 of the family's 1533-position model. The record is from RNAcentral.